GACGAACGCUGGCGGCGUGCCUAACACAUGCAAGUCGAACGGAACUGCUUCGAAGGAUUUCUUCGGAAUGACAUUGAUUCAGUUUAGUGGCGGACGGGUGAGUAACGCGUGAGUAACCUGCCUUCAAGAGGGGGAUAACAUUCUGAAAAGAAUGCUAAUACCGCAUGACAUAUGAUUGUCGCAUGGCAGAUAUAUCAAAGAUUUAUCGCUUGAAGAUGGACUCGCGUCUGAUUAGUUAGUUGGUGAGGUAACGGCCCGACCAAGACCGCGAUCGGUAGCCGGACUGAGAGGUUGAACGGCCGACAUUGGGACUGAGACACGGCCCAGACUCCUACGGGAGGCAGCAGUGGGGGAUAUUGCGCAAUGGGGGAAACCCUGAUGCAGCGACGCCGCGUGAGCGAAGAAGAUUUCGGAUGUAAAGCUCUA
Molecule: ribosomal RNA, 426 nt
Filed under: uncultured bacterium
Lineage: Bacteria
Description: bacterial SSU rRNA
Rfam family: Bacterial small subunit ribosomal RNA
Source: RNAcentral